This 451-nucleotide ribosomal RNA is filed under the name uncultured organism. RNAcentral describes it as "partial 16S ribosomal RNA". It matches the Rfam family "Bacterial small subunit ribosomal RNA", at positions 332 to 799 of the family's 1533-position model. The record is from RNAcentral.
UACACUCCUACGGGAGGCAGCAGUGGGGAAUAUUGGACAAUGGGCGCAAGCCUGAUCCAGCCAUGCCGCGUGAGUGAUGAAGGCCCUAGGGUUGUAAAGCUCUUUCACCGGUGAAGAUAAUGACGGUAACCGGAGAAGAAGCCCCGGCUAACUUCGUGCCAGCAGCCGCGGUAAUACGAAGGGGGCUAGCGUUGUUCGGAUUUACUGGGCGUAAAGCGCACGUAGGCGGACUAUUAAGUCAGGGGUGAAAUCCCGGGGCUCAACCCCGGAACUGCCUUUGAUACUGGUAGGCUUGAGUUCGGGAGAGGUGAGUGGAAUUCCGAGUGUAGAGGUGAAAUUCGUAGAUAUUCGGAGGAACACCAGUGGCGAAGGCGGCUCACUGGCUCGAUACUGACGCUGAGGUGCGAAAGCGUGGGGAGCAAACAGGAUUAGAUACCCGGGUAGUCCCAUG